UACGUAGGGAGCAAGCGUUAUCCGGAUUUAUUGGGUGUAAAGGGAGCGCAGGCGGCACGGCAAGCCUGAUGUGAAAGCCCGCGGCCCAACCGCGGGACUGCAUUGGGAACUACCGGGCUGGAGUGCCGGAGAGGUAGGCGGAAUUCCUAGUGUAGCGGUGAAAUGCGUAGAUAUUAGGAGGAACACCAGUGGCGAAGGCGGCCUACUGGACGGUGACUGACGCUGAGGCUCGAAAGCGUGGGGAGCAAACAGG
This 253-nucleotide ribosomal RNA is filed under the name uncultured bacterium. Its description in RNAcentral is "partial 16S ribosomal RNA". It matches the Rfam family "Bacterial small subunit ribosomal RNA", at positions 524 to 776 of the family's 1533-position model. The record is from RNAcentral.